ACGCGUGAGUAACCUGCCCUUCACUCUGGGAUAACUCCGGGAAACCGGUGCUAAUACUGGAUGUGACCCUGGCCCGCAUGGGUUGGGGUGGAAAGUUUUUCGGUGGGGGAUGGACUCGCGGCCUAUCAGCUUGUUGGUGGGGUAAUGGCCUACCAAGGCGACGACGGGUAGCCGGCCUGAGAGGGCGACCGGCCACACUGGGACUGAGACACGGCCCAGACUCCUACGGGAGGCAGCAAUGGGGAAUAUUGCACAAUGGGCGAAAGCCUGAUGCAGCGACGCCGCGUGAGGGAUGACGGCCUUCGGGUUGUAAACCUCUUUCAGCUCUGAAGAAGCGAAUAUGUGACGGUAGGAGCAGAAGAAGCACCGGCUAACUACGUGCCAGCAGCCGCGGUAAUACGUAGGGUGCGAGCGUUGUCCGGAAUUAUUGGGCGUAAAGAGCUUGUAGGCGGUUUGUCGCGUCUGCUGUGAAAGCCCGGGGCUUAACCCCGGGUCUGCAGUGGGUACGGGCAGACUAGAGUAUGGUAGGGGAGACUGGAAUUCCUGGUGUAGCGGUGGAAUGCGCAGAUAUCAGGAGGAACACCGAUGGCGAAGGCAGGUCUCUGGGCCAUAACUGACGCUGAGAAGCGAAAGCAUGGGUAGCGAAUGGGAUUAGAUACCCCAGUAGUC
Molecule: ribosomal RNA, 669 nt
Filed under: uncultured Ornithinicoccus sp.
Lineage: Bacteria; Bacillati; Actinomycetota; Actinomycetes; Micrococcales; Intrasporangiaceae
Description: bacterial SSU rRNA
Rfam family: Bacterial small subunit ribosomal RNA
Source: RNAcentral